RNAcentral lists this ribosomal RNA (450 nucleotides) under uncultured bacterium. RNAcentral's name for it is "partial 16S ribosomal RNA". It matches the Rfam family "Bacterial small subunit ribosomal RNA", at positions 354 to 796 of the family's 1533-position model. The record is from RNAcentral.
GUGGGGAAUAUUGGACAAUGGGCGAAAGCCUGAUCCAGCCAUGCCGCGUGUGUGAAGAAGGUCUUCGGAUUGUAAAGCACUUUAAGUUGGGAGGAAGGGCAGUAAGUUAAUACCUUGCUGUUUUGACGUUACCGACAGAAUAAGCACCGGCUAACUUCGUGCCAGCAGCCGCGGUAAUACGAAGGGUGCAAGCGUUAAUCGGAAUUACUGGGCGUAAAGCGCGCGUAGGUGGUUUUGUAAGUUGGAGGUGAAAUCCCAGGGCUCAACCUGGGAACUGCCUACAAAACUGCAUGGCGAGAGUACGGUAGAUGGUAGUGGAAGUUCCUGUGUAGCGGUGAAAUGCGUAGAUAUAGGAAGGAACACCAGUGGCGAAGGCGACUACCUGGACUGAUACUGACACUGAGGUGCGAAAGCGUGGGGAGCAAACAGGAUUAGAAACCCCAGUAGUCC